RNAcentral lists this ribosomal RNA (110 nucleotides) under uncultured bacterium. RNAcentral describes it as "partial 16S ribosomal RNA". It matches the Rfam family "Bacterial small subunit ribosomal RNA", at positions 1357 to 1482 of the family's 1533-position model. The record is from RNAcentral.
UUGCGGUGAAUACGUUCCCGGGUCUUGUACACACCGCCCGUCAAGCCAUGAAAGUGACCAACACCCGAAGUCCGAUUCGUCGGCCUAAGGUGGGGGGCAUGAUUGGGGUU